GGCGUCGAUCUAUAGCUGGUCUGAGAGGAUGAUCAGCCACACUGGGACUGAGACACGGCCCAGACUCCUACGGGAGGCAGCAGUGGGGAAUUUUCCGCAAUGGGCGAAAGCCUGACGGAGCAAUACCGCGUGAGGGAGGAAGGCUCUUGGGUUGUAAACCUCUUUUCUCAGGGAAGAAUAAAUGACGGUACCUGAGGAAUAAGCAUCGGCUAACUCCGUGCCAGCAGCCGCGGUAAUACGGAGGAUGCAAGCGUUAUCCGGAAUGAUUGGGCGUAAAGCGUCCGCAGGUGGCUCUGUAAGUCUGCCGUUAAAGAAUGAGGCUCAACCUCAUAAGGGCGGUGGAAACUACAAAGCUGGAGUACGUUCGGGGUAGAGGGAAUUCCUGGUGUAGCGGUGAAAUGCGUAGAGAUCAGGAAGAACACCGGUGGCGAAGGCGCUCUACUAGGCCGUAACUGACACUGAGGGACGAAAGCUAGGGGAGCGAAUGGGAUUAGAUACCCC
Molecule: ribosomal RNA, 501 nt
Filed under: uncultured bacterium
Lineage: Bacteria
Description: bacterial SSU rRNA
Rfam family: Bacterial small subunit ribosomal RNA
Source: RNAcentral